UGGGGAAUUUUGGACAAUGGGCGAAAGCCUGAUCCAGCAAUGCCGCGUGUGUGAAGAAGGCCUUCGGGUUGUAAAGCACUUUUGUCCGGAAAGAAAUCCUUGGCUCUAAUACAGUCGGGGGAUGACGGUACCGGAAGAAUAAGCACCGGCUAACUACGUGCCAGCAGCCGCGGUAAUACGUAGGGUGCAAGCGUUAAUCGGAAUUACUGGGCGUAAAGCGUGCGCAGGCGGUUUGCUAAGACCGAUGUGAAAUCCCCGGGCUCAACCUGGGAACUGCAUUGGUGACUGGCAGGCUAGAGUAUGGCAGAGGGGGGUAGAACUCCACGUGUAGCAGUGAAAUGCGUAGAGAUGUGGAGGAAUACCGAUGGCGAAGGCAGCCCCCUGGGCCAAUACUGACGCUCAUGCACGAAAGCGUGGGGAGCAAACAGGAUUAGAUACCCUGGUAGUCCACGCCCUAAACGAUGUCAACUAGUUGUUGGGGAUUCAUUUCCUUAGUAACGUAGCUAACGCGUGAAGUUGACCGCCUGGGGAGUACGGUCGCAAGAUUAAAA
This 551-nucleotide ribosomal RNA is filed under the name uncultured bacterium. Its description in RNAcentral is "partial 16S ribosomal RNA". It matches the Rfam family "Bacterial small subunit ribosomal RNA", at positions 355 to 899 of the family's 1533-position model. The record is from RNAcentral.